Molecule: ribosomal RNA, 337 nt
Filed under: Pantoea sp. SG4
Lineage: Bacteria; Pseudomonadati; Pseudomonadota; Gammaproteobacteria; Enterobacterales; Erwiniaceae
Description: bacterial SSU rRNA
Rfam family: Bacterial small subunit ribosomal RNA
Source: RNAcentral
AUCCAGAGACUUUCCAGAGAUGGAUUGGUGCCUUCGGGAACUCUGAGACAGGUGCUGCAUGGCUGUCGUCAGCUCGUGUUGUGAAAUGUUGGGUUAAGUCCCGCAACGAGCGCAACACUUAUCCUUUGUUGCCAGCGGUUCGGCCGGGAACUCAAAGGAGACUGCCAGUGAUAAACUGGAGGAAGGUGGGGAUGACGUCAAGUCAUCAUGGCCCUUACGAGUAGGGCUACACACGUGCUACAAUGGCGCAUACAAAGAGAAGCGACCUCGCGAGAGCAAGCGGACCUCAUAAAGUGCGUCGUAAUCCGGAUUGGAGUCGGCAACUCGACAACAUGAA